Molecule: transfer RNA, 85 nt
Filed under: Chlamydiales bacterium
Lineage: Bacteria; Pseudomonadati; Chlamydiota; Chlamydiia; Chlamydiales
Description: tRNA-Ser
Rfam family: tRNA
About the family: Transfer RNA (tRNA) molecules are approximately 80 nucleotides in length. Their secondary structure includes four short double-helical elements and three loops (D, anti-codon, and T loops).
Source: RNAcentral
GGAAGAGUGGCUGAGCGGCCGAAAGCACCUGUCUUGAAAACAGGCUUACCGAGAGGUAACGGGGGUUCGAAUCCCUCCUCUUCCG